AGUGAACGCUGGCGGUAGGCCUAACACAUGCAAGUCGAACGGCAGCACAGUAAGAGCUUGCUCUUACGGGUGGCGAGUGGCGGACGGGUGAGGAAUACAUCGGAAUCUACUUUUUCGUGGGGGAUAACGUAGGGAAACUUACGCUAAUACCGCAUACGACCUACGGGUGAAAGCAGGGGAUCUUCGGACCUUGCGCGAUUGAAUGAGCCGAUGUCGGAUUAGCUAGUUGGCGGGGUAAAGGCCCACCAAGGCGACGAUCCGUAGCUGGUCUGAGAGGAUGAUCAGCCACACUGGAAGUGAGACACGGUCCAGACUCCUACGGGAGGCAGCAGUGGGGAAUAUUAGACGAUGGGCGCAGGCCUGAUCCUGCCAUACCGCGUGGGUGAAGAAGGCCUUCGGGUUGUAAAGCCCUUUUGUUGGGAAAGAAAAGCAGCAGGUUAAUACCCCGCUGUUCUGACGGUACCCAAAGAAUAAGCACCGGCUAACUUCGUG
This 492-nucleotide ribosomal RNA is filed under the name uncultured bacterium. RNAcentral describes it as "partial 16S ribosomal RNA". It matches the Rfam family "Bacterial small subunit ribosomal RNA", at positions 29 to 507 of the family's 1533-position model. The record is from RNAcentral.